GCGGGCGUGGUCUAGUGGUAUGACGUCUCCUUCCCAAGGAGAAGAUCGCGAGUUCGACUCUCGUCGCCCGCU
This 72-nucleotide transfer RNA is filed under the name Candidatus Doudnaibacteriota bacterium. RNAcentral's name for it is "Candidatus Doudnabacteria bacterium tRNA-Gly". It matches the Rfam family "tRNA". From Rfam's summary of the family: Transfer RNA (tRNA) molecules are approximately 80 nucleotides in length. Their secondary structure includes four short double-helical elements and three loops (D, anti-codon, and T loops). Further hydrogen bonds mediate the characteristic L-shaped molecular structure. tRNAs have two regions of fundamental functional importance: the anti-codon, which is responsible for specific mRNA codon recognition, and the 3' end, to which the tRNAs corresponding amino acid is attached (by aminoacyl-tRNA synthetases). tRNAs cope with the degeneracy of the genetic code in two manners: having more than one tRNA (with a specific anti-codon) for a particular amino acid; and 'wobble' base-pairing, i.e. permitting non-standard base-pairing at the 3rd anti-codon position. The record is from RNAcentral. Lineage: Bacteria; Candidatus Doudnaibacteriota.